Molecule: ribosomal RNA, 460 nt
Filed under: uncultured bacterium
Lineage: Bacteria
Description: partial 16S ribosomal RNA
Rfam family: Bacterial small subunit ribosomal RNA
Source: RNAcentral
CCUACGGGAGGCAGCAGUGAGGAAUAUUGGUCAAUGGGCGCAAGCCUGAACCAGCCACGCAGCGUGAAGGAUGACUGCCCUACGGGUUGUAAACUCCUUUUAUAAGGGAGUAAAGUGCGGCACGUGUGCCUUUUUGUAUGUACUUUAUGAAUAAGGAUCGGCUAACUCCGUGCCAGCAGCCGCGGUAAUACGGAGGAUCCGAGCGUUAUCCGGAUUUAUUGGGUUUAAAGGGAGCGUAGAUGGGUGGUUAAGUCAGUGGUGAAAGUUUGCGGCUCAACCGCGAGAUUGCAUUUGAUACUGGCAGUCUUGAGUAAAGUUGAGGUAGGCGGAAUUCGUGGUGUAGCGGUGAAAUGCGUAGAUAUCACGAAGAACUCCGAUUGCGAAGGCAGCUUACUAAACUGCAACUGACAUUGAGGCUCGAAAGUGUGGGUAUCAAACAGGAUUAGAUACCCGGGUAGUC